GAUGAACGCUAGCGGCGGGCUUAAUACAUGCAAGUCGAGGGGCAGCACGAUGUAGCAAUACAUUGGUGGCGACCGGCGGACGGGUGCGUAACACGUAUGCAACUUGCCCUAUACUGGAAGAUAGCCCGAAGAAAUUCGGAUUAAUAUUCCAUAAUAUCAGGAUAAGCAUUUAUCUUGGUUCAAAGCUCCGGCGGUAUAGGAUGGGCAUGCGGUCGAUAGCUUGUUGGUGAGGUAACGGCUCACCAAGGCGACGAUCGAUAGGGGGCCUGAGAGGGUGAUCCCCCACACUGGUACGUGAGAC
Molecule: ribosomal RNA, 301 nt
Filed under: uncultured bacterium
Lineage: Bacteria
Description: bacterial SSU rRNA
Rfam family: Bacterial small subunit ribosomal RNA
Source: RNAcentral